RNAcentral lists this ribosomal RNA (253 nucleotides) under uncultured bacterium. RNAcentral describes it as "partial 16S ribosomal RNA". It matches the Rfam family "Bacterial small subunit ribosomal RNA", at positions 524 to 776 of the family's 1533-position model. The record is from RNAcentral.
UACGUAGGGUCCGAGCGUUGUCCGGAAUUAUUGGGCGUAAAGGGCUCGUAGGCGGUCCGUCACGUCGGGAGUGAAAACUCAGGGCUUAACCCUGAGCCUGCUUCCGAUACGGGCAGACUAGAGGUAUGCAGGGGAGAACGGAAUUCCUGGUGUAGCGGUGGAAUGCGCAGAUAUCAGGAGGAACACCGGUGGCGAAGGCGGUUCUCUGGGCAUUACCUGACGCUGAGGAGCGAAAGUGUGGGGAGCGAACAGG